RNAcentral lists this ribosomal RNA (451 nucleotides) under uncultured bacterium. RNAcentral describes it as "bacterial SSU rRNA". It matches the Rfam family "Bacterial small subunit ribosomal RNA", at positions 340 to 786 of the family's 1533-position model. The record is from RNAcentral.
UACGGGAGGCAGCAGGGGGAAUAUUGCACAAUGGGCGCAAGCCUGAUGCAGCCAUGCCGCGUGUAUGAAGAAGGCCUUCGGGUUGUAAAGUACUUUCAGUCGUGAGGAGGUGUUAAGGUUAAUAACCUUAGCAAUUGACGUUAGCGACAGAAGAAGCACCGGCUAACUCCGUGCCAGCAGCCGCGGUAAUACGGAGGGUGCGAGCGUUAAUCGGAAUUACUGGGCGUAAAGGGCACGCAGGCGGUUAAUUAAGUUGGAUGUGAAAUCCCCGGGCUUAACCUGGGAAUGGCAUUCAAGACUGGUUAGCUAGAGUCUUGUAGAGGGGGUAGAAUUCCAUGUGUAGCGGUGAAAUGCGUAGAGAUGUGGAGGAAUACCGGUGGCGAAGGCGGCCCCUGGACAAAGACUGACGCUCAUGUGCGAAAGCGUGGGGAGCAAACAGGGAUUAGAUACC